AUGCCACCUCAUCAAAGGUCCACCACUUCAUGCAUGAGAAAAGGUUUUCCAUUAUUAGUUGAUCUCAUGCACACCUUCCACCUCACCACACAUGCCACUUCAUCAAAGGUCCACUCAACAUGUAUGAAAAAAAGCUUUCCAUUACGUUAUGCCAUUUAUAUUCAAAAUAUUUUCAGACUACGCAAUAACCAAAUACAGUAUAUAAUAUUUAUUUUUAGCUUUAGUUCAUAUAUUAUUAAUUCGACGAUGGAAGCUUCAGACAAUCAAAUCAAUGAAAUAUAUUGCAAUCAAUUCCCGCAGCAACGGGCGGGGUAA
RNAcentral lists this ribosomal RNA (315 nucleotides) under Triticum aestivum (bread wheat). RNAcentral describes it as "partial small subunit ribosomal RNA". The record is from RNAcentral. Lineage: Eukaryota; Viridiplantae; Streptophyta; Magnoliopsida; Poales; Poaceae.